Molecule: long non-coding RNA, 154 nt
Organism: Pipistrellus kuhlii (Kuhl's pipistrelle)
Lineage: Eukaryota; Metazoa; Chordata; Mammalia; Chiroptera; Vespertilionidae
Exons: 3
Source: RefSeq, a predicted model, not a curated record
CACUGGGACUUGAGUACCCCCGAGGACUCAGCCAGAGGGGUGAGCUAGCAUGUGUUUAUGUCCUGGCAAUCAUAUGGCUUAAAGUGACUGAGCUACAUCUAUGUGCAUUCAACUGAUCAGCAGACAAUGAAGUAAAUACAUCAAACUGUGAAAA